UACGAAGGGUGCAAGCGUUACUCGGAAUUACUGGGCGUAAAGCGUGCGUAGGUGGUCGUUUAAGUCUGUUGUGAAAGCCCUGGGCUCAACCUGGGAACUGCAGUGGAAACUGGACGACUAGAGUGUAGUAGAGGCAGGUGGAAUUCCGGGUGUAGCGGUGGAAUGCGUAGAGAUCCGGAAGAACACCGGUGGCGAAGGCGGCCUGCUGGGCUAUGGCUGACACUGAGGCGCGACAGCGUGGGGAGCAAACAGG
This 253-nucleotide ribosomal RNA is filed under the name uncultured bacterium. RNAcentral describes it as "partial 16S ribosomal RNA". It matches the Rfam family "Bacterial small subunit ribosomal RNA", at positions 524 to 776 of the family's 1533-position model. The record is from RNAcentral.